Molecule: ribosomal RNA, 764 nt
Filed under: uncultured Glomus
Lineage: Eukaryota; Fungi; Glomeromycota; Glomeromycetes; Glomerales; Glomeraceae
Description: SSU rRNA
Rfam family: Eukaryotic small subunit ribosomal RNA
Source: RNAcentral
UACCAUGGUGGUAACGGGUAACGGGGUGUUAGGGCACGACACCGGAGAGGGAGCCUGAGAAACGGCUACCACAUCCAAGGAUGGCAGCAGGCGCGCAAAUUACCCAAUCCCGACACGGGGAGGUAGUGACAAUAAAUAACAAUACAGGGCUCUUUUGGGUCUUGUAAUUGGAAUGAGUACAAUUUAAAUCUCUUAACGAGGAACAAUUGGAGGGCAAGUCUGGUGCCAGCAGCCGCGGUAAUUCCAGCUCCAAUAGCGUAUAUUAAAGUUGUUGCAGUUAAAAAGCUCGUAGUUGAAUUUCGGGAUCAAUAUAUCGGUCGUGCUUCGGUACGUACUGGUAUCAUUGGUUUCUCCUUUCUGACGAACCAUGAUGUCAUUAAUUUGGUGUUAUGGGGAGUUAGGACUGUUACUUUGAAAAAAUUAGAGUGUUUAAAGCAGGCUUUAGCUUGAAUACAUUAGCAUGGAAUAAUGAAAUAGGACGUUCGAACCUAUUUUGUUGGUUUCUAGGAUCAACGUAAUGAUUAAUAGGGAUAGUUGGGGGCAUUAGUAUUCAAUUGUCAGAGGUGAAAUUCUUGGAUUUAUUGAAGACUAACUACUGCGAAAGCAUUUGCCAAGGAUGUUUUCAUUAAUCAAGAACGAAAGUUAGGGGAUCGAAGACGAUCAGAUACCGUCGUAGUCUUAACCAUAAACUAUGCCGACUAGGGAUCGGAUGAUGUUAAUUUUUUAAUGACUCAUUCGGCGCCUUACGGGAAACCAAAGUGUUU